GGUCGAGUGGUUAAGGUUGCUUGCGUUGAAUCACUCAGCCUUCACUGACGGGGGCUCGAGCCUCAUUUGGAGUGUUAAAUUCUUUGUGUGAGGAAGUCAUCCAGCUGGCUUACAGAAGGUUGGUGGUUCUACCCAGGUGCCUGCUUGUGAUGAAAUAAGCAUGGGGACCGCUGGGAUCUCCCCAUCAAAGCUUGAAACUGGCCAUAUGACCAAUAAUUGUGUUGGUGCGACGUUAUUCCCAAAACUGGCAUUCUUUCUUAUACCCUUUCGGCGAUGGAUUACAUCAGGAAUGAGGUGUCAAGAGUGAUUAAUAUAAGUUGUAGAGCAUGUUCCGAUAUUGUCCUUAAAUUAUAAAUUUUGUAUAAAGUAAUAUCUGAUUCUUGAAUUCACAAAAAUAAUUGUCAAUGAAAUUGGUAGAUCAAACAGUGGAAAAUUAUUAACUUAACCAUUGUGUUCUUCCAUAUCAGGUUGUUAUACACCAAACUAUGUUUUUACAUAUUCCAUUUAAUUUGUGUGUAUUUUAAACAACUUGUUAUAAAUCAACUGAUAUAUACAUGUAUAUUGAUUCAAGAUGUUUGUUAGUGAACAAAAUUGUGCCACUUAAUGUUAUAUGUAUUAUAUGUUUUUGUUUUGACAUUAAAUCUCACAAGGCAUUGAAAUGAUAUUACUCUAAUAAUCAAUAUUCUUUAUGUCAAAGAAAGUUUGUGAAUUUUUGAUAAGAUGACAUUUGUAUGCAGCAAUGUUUGUCAAAGAGAUAAUUCACAAAACAAAAAAUCUGUUUGCAGAAAUGUUGAUUAAAAAGAUAAUUUUGAAAAAUAAGACAGAUUUUAAUUUUUUCUCAUAAAAUUAUUCAUUGUGAUAGCAUACUUAUUAUCAGGCAGUUGUUUAAAUGUUAUAAAAGCUUGCAACUUGUCAACACCAACUGACAAAUGUUUUCAGGGUGUGUUAAAAUCUCAAACUAUACUUUUUAUUUAAUAAUACUAGUAUGUAAGAGAAGCUAAAUAGAACAACCAGCCAACAGCAGGUGGUUUAUAUAUGUUUAUUGCCCUAUUUUUUUAUCAGUACUAGACCUUCUUCAGGAGGCAUACAUUUUGUUGUUUGAUAAAUAUUAGGGAUAUUAAAUCUAUCCAAUUCUAAAAGCUGUUGAUUGAGUAAAUUUCAUGUAGGUUUUUUAAAGCGAUUAUACGGUUAGCAGCCUUAAACGUAACAAAGAAAGAACUGAGGUUAACUGGCUGCCAAGCAAUGGGCAGCCAUGAAGAUAUGACCAGUAAAUGAAAUUAUUUUUAUUCAGAAAACAAUUUUAAAUAUUCAUGUAUAUAUUGAAUUCACAAGUGACAUUAUUACCCAAUGUUAGGGAAAUAAUAAAACCAGCGUGAACAUAACUCAAUCAACAGUUAGCAGAAAUGAUGACAGAACUAUGCAGGAUUUGAAAACAAAUCACCUUUCCUUAAGGAAGCAUUUGACUUGAAACAUUUGCAGUAAGUUAACUUUGUGAAAAUAAAUUGUAAACACUGCAGAUAUGUUAGCAUUGUAAAAUUUACUGCCUAUAGAUGUAGAGUAACUGUAGUUGAAUUGAAAUACAUUCUAACAUGACUGGAUUUGUUUUCCUAAAAAUACUGAAACUGACGUAAUUUUGCAACAAAAUCACUGUUUAUAUGUUAUAUCUAUCAUGUUAUAGUAUCAAGAAGUGGUAUGCUGAAAAUAAAUGCAAUGCAAAACAGGCAGAUAUUUGGCAGGUGUCGUCAAGGGUGUACAUAGUAAUCAGAAUCAAAGCAGUGAUUUUCUCUCGAUUGAAAUUAACCUUUAGCCUGCUGGGGCAAAUGAUUCUGCCUUUGCGACCAGUGCAGACAAAGAUCAGCCUGCACAUCCGUGCAGUCUGAUCAUGGUCUGCACUGUUCGCUAUUCAGUUAGUAAAAUUUUCAGUGGACACCCCUUCAAAUAUUAAAUGGUACUGCCUAAAUUGAAUGAUGAACCUUUCCAUUUUCAAAAUUGAGCAGGGUAAAGGUUAAAGAUGCAAAGGAAUCAUAUUGAGAGGGGUAUGUUGGAUUUCAUUGAGAAAAUUGCUGACCAAUUUUUCAAAAUAUCUGCAGAACCAUUUUCCUAUUCUAUUAUAUUAACACUAUUAUAUUAAAAAAUGUUUCAGGCUUUGUUUAGUAAAUGUUUAGUUUUCUGAAUUUUAAGCAGUUUCCAGGUAUGCGAUAAGCUGUAAUGUGAUAAAUUGCAAGAUUGGUCAAAUGUUUAUGCACCAGCUAUAGAAUGCUUUCUAUGUAUAGUAACCAAAAGCAGUCACACUGAUUUAAUUGUAAUUAUCUUAAAAAAUGUUUGAUGAUUUGCUUCCUAUAUGUAUUGUAAAGUAUUUUCAUUUACUAAUGCAUACUUAAUUUAUGUCAUCAUAUUAAUUGAUCAUUAUUCAUUUGAAAAUGAGAAAUAAAAUAUAAAUGCUCUAAAAA
This is a long non-coding RNA of Mercenaria mercenaria, 2450 nucleotides long. RefSeq lists it as uncharacterized. The transcript has 2 exons. The record is from RefSeq and is a predicted model, not a curated record. NCBI's taxonomy places the organism in Eukaryota, Metazoa, Mollusca, Bivalvia, Venerida, Veneridae.